UACGUAGGCAGCAAGCGUUGUUCGGAGUUACUGGGCGUAAAGGGUGUGUAGGCGGUUGCUUAAGUUUGGUGUGAAAUCUCCCGGCUCAACUGGGAGGGUGCGCCGAAUACUGAGUGACUAGAGUGCGGGAGAGGAAAGUGGAAUUCCUGGUGUAGCGGUGAAAUGCGUAGAUAUCAGGAGGAACAUCGGUGGUGUAGACGGCUUUCUGGACCGUAACUGACGCUGAGACACGAAAGCGUGGGGAGCGAACAGG
This 253-nucleotide ribosomal RNA is filed under the name uncultured bacterium. Its description in RNAcentral is "partial 16S ribosomal RNA". It matches the Rfam family "Bacterial small subunit ribosomal RNA", at positions 524 to 776 of the family's 1533-position model. The record is from RNAcentral.